AGUGAACGCUGGCGGUAUGCCUAACACAUGCAAGUCGAACGGCAGCACCGUAAGAGCUUGCUCUUACGGGUGGCGAGUGGCGGACGUGUGAGGAAUACAUCGUAAUCUACUUUUUCGUGGGGGAUAACGUAGGGAAACUUACGCUCAUACCGCAUACGACCUACGGGUGAAAGCAGUGGAUCUUCGGACCUUGCGCGAUUGAAUGAGCCGAUGUCGGAUUAGCUAGUUGGCGGGGUAAAGGCCCACCAAGGCGACGAUCCGUAGCUGGUCUGAGAGGAUGAUCAGCCACACGGGAACGGGGACACGGUCCAGACUCCUACGGGAGGCAGCAGUGGGGAAUAUUGGACAAUGGGCGCAAGCCUGAUCCAGCCAGACCGCGUGGGUGAAGAAGGCCUUGGGGUUGGAAAGCCCUUUUGUUGGGAAAGAAAAGCAGCAGGUUAAUACCCCGCUGUUCUGACGGUACCCAAAGAAGAAGCACCGGCUAACUUCGUG
RNAcentral lists this ribosomal RNA (492 nucleotides) under uncultured bacterium. RNAcentral describes it as "partial 16S ribosomal RNA". It matches the Rfam family "Bacterial small subunit ribosomal RNA", at positions 29 to 507 of the family's 1533-position model. The record is from RNAcentral.